GACGAACGCUGGCGGCGUGCUUAACACAUGCAAGUCGAACGGAAAGGCCCUGCUUUUGUGGGGUGCUCGAGUGGCGAACGGGUGAGUAACACGUGAGUAACCUGCCCUUGACUUUGGGAUAACUUCAGGAAACUGGGGCUAAUACCGGAUAGGAGCUCCUGCUGCAUGGGGGGGGUUGGAAAGUUUCGGCGGUUGGGGAUGGACUCGCGGCUUAUCAGCUUGUUGGUGGGGUAGUGGCUUACCAAGGCUUUGACGGGUAGCCGGCCUGAGAGGGUGACCGGCCACAUUGGGACUGAGAUACGGACCAGACUCCUACGGGAGGCAGCAGUGGGGAAUAUUGCACAGUGGGCGGAAGCCUGAUGCAGCAACGCCGCGUGCGGGAUGACGGCCUUCGGGUUGUAAACCGCUUUCGCCUGUGACGAAGCGUGAGUGACGGUAAUGGGUAAAGAAGCACCGGCUAACUACGUG
Molecule: ribosomal RNA, 468 nt
Filed under: uncultured bacterium
Lineage: Bacteria
Description: partial 16S ribosomal RNA
Rfam family: Bacterial small subunit ribosomal RNA
Source: RNAcentral